GACGCAGCAACGCCGCGUGUGUGAUGAAGGUCUUCGGAUUGUAAAGCACUUUCGACCGGGACGAAAAAGCGGGUGCUAAUCAGCCUGCCUUGACGGUACCGGGAGAAGAAGCACCGGCUAACUCUGUGCCAGCAGCCGCGGUAAUACAGAGGGUGCAAGCGUUGUUCGGAAUUAUUGGGCGUAAAGCGCGUGUAGGCGGCCUGGCAAGUCGGGUGUGAAAGCCCUCAGCUCAACCGAGGAAGUGCGCCCGAAACUGCUAUGGCUUGAGUGCCGGAGAGGGUGGCGGAAUUCCCCAAGUAGAGGUGAAAUUCGUAGAUAUGGGGAGGAACACCGGUGGCGAAGGCGGCCACCUGGACGGUGACUGACGCUGAGACGCGAAAGCGUGGGGAGCAAACAGGAUUAGAUACCCUGGUAGUCCACGCCGUAAACGAUGAGAACUAGGUGUCGUGGGAGUUGACCCCCGCGGUGCCGUAGCUAACGCAUUAAGUUCUCCGCCUGGGAAGUACGGUCGCAAGACUA
Molecule: ribosomal RNA, 519 nt
Filed under: uncultured Pseudomonadota bacterium
Lineage: Bacteria; Pseudomonadati; Pseudomonadota
Description: bacterial SSU rRNA
Rfam family: Bacterial small subunit ribosomal RNA
Source: RNAcentral